AAAUAAUUAAAAUGGCCUUAUUACAGCCCAAAACCAAACAAUAAUAUUAAUAAGAUAAAACUUAUAAAGAAAUAAAUUAGCUACUUAUUGCAAUUAAAAGAAACAGAAACAGUAGUGUGGCCAUCUCCGAGUCCCUCGCAGCUCCAAACCAUCUAAGCUUAGGGAUUACCUGCACAGUUAGAAAUGGGGUGAAUUUACGAAAACUCAGUGUGUAAUCCUAAUAACAAACAAACAGUGAAAACACAGUAUCAGUACAAUCUGGGCUAAAGCCCUAUUUAGUCUUGACAUAUACUGGGCCGAAGCCUUUCGUUUAACGGUUACUGGGCCGAAGCCUUUACUGUAAACGGUAUAGCUCUUAGGCCCAUUUCAAUAUCACAUGUAAUGUCAAUGGAUGUAUGCAAGCCCAUUUCAAUAUCACAUGAAAUACCAAUGAAUGUAUGCAAGCCCAUUUGGAGAGACUACUCAAUCCUCCAUCCGCUACUCUCCACCCGUACCAACCAACACACCAUGUGGGGAAUAACUCAACCCACCCAACCAACACACCACUGGCAGCAUAGCUACUUUAUCAUAUAUCUGAAGGCCUAGCCUCUUUAAUAACUGGGGCAAAGCCCUUUUCAAUAAACUGGGGCAUAAGCCCUUUUCGGUAAACAAGGGCAUAAGCCCUUUUCAAUAAACUGGGGCAUAAGCCCUUUUGCACUUCCUCCAUCCAUAUAAAAACCCAACCCAAUGCAACAUGUCAUGUGUGCAGAAUGUCAUGCCCAUAUUUGAAUAAACAAUCACAGUCAAGUCAUUCAUAUCACCAACAUAUAUUCACAAUCAAAUCCAUCAACCACACAUUCCAAGUCAGUCACUUGCCCACAAGGGCAAAACAAUUAUUUUUCAUAUUAUAAGGGUAUUUUCGUAAUUUUACCAAAUAUCAGUGUUUUCCAUGUUCAUUACAAUUAUCAAUAUUUUCGAGUGUUUAAACAAUGAUCUUUAACCCGCUUUAUCAAAUUCGGGCUUUUGGGCCCAAAACCCCUAAUGGGCCCUACGAAUGCUGAUUUAGCUUACUUAACCCAAAUUUUACAACAAUACUAACCGUGUUAACGUGCAACUUUUCAAAAUUCCAUUUUCUAUCAAUUCUACCCAAAUGGGUCCGAAAGCCCAUUGGGCCCAAUUUUAGCCCAUUGAGGCCCAACUUACCAUCGUGCACAAAAUCGAGUUCUUACCUGUUCCAUCGAUCCAAAAACUGAUCUUAUCGUAUUUAUCGCAUCUAUACCCAAACGCAACAUUACAAGUCCCCGAAAUAUUGGUAUUUUAGCAUUUCGGCUUCUCAGCAAAUAUUAAUCUAAGCUAUUACGAGGGUUAGUACACACCUGUUACGGGUUGAAGUUGAAACGUUUCCAAAAUCAAUCGCCUACGAUAACCACCACCUGUCACUCAAAC
Molecule: long non-coding RNA, 1425 nt
Filed under: Gossypium barbadense (sea-island cotton)
Lineage: Eukaryota; Viridiplantae; Streptophyta; Magnoliopsida; Malvales; Malvaceae
Description: long non-coding RNA (GBAR_LNC001652)
Source: RNAcentral